UCCCAGACUCCUACGGGAGGCAGCAGUGGGGGAUAUUGCACAAUGGGGGGAACCCUGAUGCAGCGACGCCGCGUGGGUGAAGAAGCGCCUCGGCGCGUAAAGCCCUGUCAGCAGGGAAGAAAAUGACGGUACCUGAAGAAGAAGCCCCGGCUAACUACGUGCCAGCAGCCGCGGUAAUACGUAGGGGGCAAGCGUUAUCCGGAUUUACUGGGUGUAAAGGGAGCGUAGACGGCAGUGCAAGUCCGGAGUGAAAGCCCGGGGCUCAACCCUGGGACUGCUCUGGAAACUGUAAAGCUGGAGUGCGGGAGGGGCAGGCGGAAUUCCUGGUGUAGCGGUGAAAUGCGUAGAUAUCAGGAGGAACACCGGCGGCGAAGGCGGCCUGCUGGACCGUAACUGACGUUGAGGCUCGAAAGCGUGGGGAGCAAACAGGAUUAGAUACCCUAGUA
Molecule: ribosomal RNA, 446 nt
Filed under: uncultured bacterium
Lineage: Bacteria
Description: bacterial SSU rRNA
Rfam family: Bacterial small subunit ribosomal RNA
Source: RNAcentral